GAUGACAAUUUGUUUCACUCUACCCUACAGCAGUGGUGGCUGUGAAGAGAGGAGAAUUAAAUUUGAUCUUCUGACAGCAAUUAUUAAAUGCUCCCUCCUGGCCUCAAUUAAGGCCUGCAGGCUAGUGCUAACAUGGCUAACCCUCAUGCAACCACAAGAUGCCGGCGCACUUCCUUUUUCUUCACCAGCUUCUUUUUGUCACCCUUUUCAGCAUGCAUGUGUGUGGGCUGUGCGGGUGCAUCUGUGUGUGUCUGUCAACUUGGUGGGUAUGGAAAUGCAUGCUUGCUUAUGGGUCAUUAUCUGUCUGACUGUUUGUUGUAACUAAGUCAGCAUGUGGGUACGGGCAGAUAUGCGAGAAAGUUGUGGAAUUUGCUAUUUUUCCUUGUCUCUCUUCAUCAGCAAAUUUGGAUCAGUGAUGUGAAGUGAUUAUUUUUGAGAUUGUGACCGUAACAAGCAAAUAAUGAAGCUGCUGAACACUGAUGAUCUGCUCUACCUCUCUAGAAGUUAAGACUUGUGUUCUGUGUGUUGAGGGCCUCAACUUAUAUACUUAUAUACAUAAAAAUCAAUAAAACAGACACUUGUCAUAAUUAGCAUCACUCCGUAAAAUUAACCCUUAAAAAGCAAAAAAACAACAAACUGUAAACAGUUAACACUCUAAAGAACACUGUCUCUCCCUGUCGUUGUGACACUCCGCUAGCAUUAUGUGUCAUGGUCGCAGCCUUGCUGAGCUGAAGUGAGAGCCACAGCACUGCUUUGAGUCUAUGCACAGUGUGUGGGUAAUAUGCACAGAAGUAGAAGGUUGCACACUUCAACAAGGAUGUCCUUCAUAGAUUCGACCUUCUGUUUUUUUUUUUCUUCCUCCGGUCCCUGUGCUCUGCUAGGAAACCGAGUAACCUAGAUCACUGAGUAGGGAGAGAGAGGGACUGUGAGAAUAAAAGAGAGAGACAGAAGAAUGACAGAGAUAGAGAGAGAGACUGAGCAAAAGAAGCAGUAGGACAGAUUGAAGGGAGACAGAGUCAGACUUUAACACCUCUCCACCCCACCCAACACUUUAGGAUGAUGUCAGGUUCACUCUUUUUUUCUGGUUACCGCAAGCUGAUUGUGCUGAUUAUUGGUGGGCAUUGUUUCCCUGUUGACGCUGUGCAUCAUUAAACAGAGAUUGUUCCACUGUUAGUGUUUGUUUAAGCAAGGCUGGUAUAAUGUUUCCAGGCACUGUCUCUUCACCACAGACACACACACACACACACACACACACACACACACACACACACAUACACACAAAUGUAAACUUGAGACAGAAGUUGCAUGCAUUGCAUCUAUAAUUUAUGUUACUCCUGUGUUUUGUUUGAAGUCAAAUUUGGGGGCCUUCAAACAAAAAGAAAACAAAUAAAAUCAAAAAGCAAUGUGUAUUGAAAACUUCUAUAAUGAAAAAUGUACCUAACAUAUACAAGGGUCUUAAAAAUAUGAAUCUUUUUCAGCACAUAGCCUUAACUACUCUCACAGUGCUUUACAGUUCCCAGAGGAGAGAUGGUGGUGGGGUGCAUGAGGUGAAAGGCUGUAUGGAUUGCGGAGGGUGUGUUGCGGCAUACGGUACCUACAGAUCAGCCUCUGUUUAGGGGAGUGGCCCCACCAAGGCCAGAGCCAGGCCAGACCCAGCCCAAGCCUCUCAUUAGUCAUCGGCUGGGUGCCACACUCCUUUUUGGAGUGGUUAAGGGGGAACCGGCAAGGGUCUGGCAGUUCCACUGUACUCCACUCCCAGCCCCAUCACAACCCGACCUCAUCAAAGCAAGCGCUCGUAAUUUGUCACAGAAAGCAGCCAAUUAACAUAUGUUAAGGGAGGAGGGACGAUGAGAAGAAGGAGGAGAGGAGGGGAGGGCGAGUGAAAAAAGAUAGCGUAUGAUUAAAGAGUCUGCACAGCUGCACAAAAUCAAGAUGGCAAAGAAAGGUUUGAAAGAGACCUCAGACCCAGUAAUCUGAUAAAGCUUACUGUUACUUAACCCCCAAAAGCAAGAGAGAGAGGGAGAAGGAGAGAGGGGAGAAUGAAAUAAUAGAGACAAACAAAUAUUAAAUUACUGUGAAGCUACAAGCAUUGGCAGAGUGCCCCUGCUCUCAAUAUGUGGGUACACUGAAGGCCACUGUAUCACAUGGAGAUGACCCCUCUUGCCAAAGCACUACUGCUCUUUGACCAUGCUCUAUUUUUAGCUCAGCGCUCAUCAUUGUGGUUUACGUAGUUCACAGUGACGCUAAAAUCUGCCAGGAACUUAAAUUUUUUAUUUUUUUAUAUUUUUUUUACGUUUUUUAUUCCAAAAUUUUAAUGCCUGGUGCACCACAGCAAUUUAGCUCCCUUUCUCAUGAAACAAAAGGUGCUAUUUCAUUUUUCAUUUAUUUUUCUGUCGCAAAGUCUCAGACAAGUUGCUUACAUUCUGACUUGUUUGUUUGCUUUCAAAUUCUUGUUCCUCAUGGUUGGUUUUUAACAUGCUGUGUGUGGUUAUUUAUGCAUGUGUGCACGCCUGUGUGUGACUGUGUGUCUGCGCGUGUGUGUGCAUUUAUAUGUCGCUUAUUGUUGAUGUUGUUGUUGUAGGAACAUCUUGUGAAGUGAGUUGUGUGAUAUUUUGCCUUGUUGUUGGAUACGGUGGCAGGCUGAAUGCAUUAGCAGUGCACGUCGAUGCCAUUCUGUGUUCUGUCGUCUCAGCCACCUCUGCCUUGUCUCUCUACAGCGACUGAUCACACGGACUGACAAGCAAGUUUGGGUCCUCGUCUGCCGCACAAUCCUUCACUACGUGGGCUCCGAGUCUUUCAGUAAGCAAAAUAAGAGAGGCGGGGAGGAAGCUUUAAACAAAUUUGAGUGAUUUUGGAACUGUACGUCAAGUCGUGGGGAAAUCCCCCAAACAAAAAGGCAGCGAACUUGAAAAACAAUUUUGUAUUCCUAAUAUAGUUAUUUGAAAAAACCACCCACAUUAUUAUUGUUGUUGUUAUCAUUAUUAAGUGAAAGUUAUUUUGACUGAAAUCAGAGAUGAAAAUGGAAAGAAAAAACACAAAUGGCCAGCAGAAAAGCAUACCCUACACUAUAUAUAAAUCAUGACUGUUUCUUUUUUCCUCCUCUUCCUCUCUCUUGCACUCUUAUCCUUGCCAUCAAGCAUCAAUCGUUAUUUAUUUAUUUUUCCUAUUUGGGAAGUGAAGGGCUAGAGUGGAGGAGCGGAGGAGUGAAGGAGUGGGGGAUGGAGGGAUGGCGAGAGGGGGCGGCGGUGAGUUGUGUUUGGUUCACAAGGCUCGCUGCUUGCUUGAAUUUCUUGUCUGUGUUGCGAGUUGGUGGUUUAGUGAAGGACCUGGCUGCCUGGAGUUCCCCCUCCACUCAAAUCCCUCUGCUGCGCGCACAGCUGCACCGUUCACAUAACCUCGCCUGCCCCCUCCUAGCCGCCCCCCCCAGCUAAUGAUAGCAGAGCACGUCCCUCCACAAGGCAACAGCUUUUUCCACUUCAUGUACAUACACACACUCACACACACACACGCACACACACAAACUUGGCGCGCACACACACACACAUAAGUAUCAGACACACGCACAGACUAGUAGGCACAACAUAUUCCUUAUUUUCCUUCUCUUGGUUCCUUUCCUUCAUUUUUUCUCAUAUCAUUCAAUUUCUUCCCCUUCUCUUCACCCUGAGAAAAAUCCCCUGGCCUUAUGACCCAAGCAAGGCCUGAGAACGCUAUCCCCACCCCACCCACAGACACAGACAUACACACACACACAUUAAACCCACCCCUCCUACUCCAAACUCCCUGUUUUUCUCUCUCUGUACAGCUCUGCACAGCAAGUGACCUGCAUCACAGCUGUGUGUGGGAAUUUCUAAGGGUGAGUGUUAGUGGGAGGGUUAAGUGUGUGAAUGUAUGUAUUUGCACAUACCUGAGCACGUCAAUGUUCACACCGUAUGUGCUGCAUGUACAUUGCUGCGUAACUGCAUGUGUUAUACAUUUACUUAAUGUACAUAUUUCUGUUGCGUGUGUGUGUGUGUGUGUGUGUGUGUCUAUGUAAGCAGAGAAGGAGGGAGGUGAGGGCAGCUCUGGGCUUCUGCUGCGCCUACUGUGCAUUAUCCCAAAUAAACAACUCAUUACACGUGUACUUAACCAAGGGGAGCUGGCGAGCAGUGGAAGCUAAUCCCCGUUAUCGUUCCCAGCAUUUCUCUUCCGAUUAGGCUACAGGGAAGAAGAGCCCAAGAAGAGGCUGAUUUUCUCACACCCUCAAUUUGAGUCCCAUCCUGUUUGCUUGGCCCCCAAGGGGGCUGCUCUGCCGUGGCCCGGAGUGGGCCGGCGGUGGAUGGAUGUGACGUGGAGGUACUGGGACUCUGCUGGAGGGAGGCUGGAGCCACGACAGGUAUCCCCCGCACUUCCUCAGCUAUUUAUAAAACCAUGAGUCCAGCACAGGGCCAAAAAUAAGACGGAGGCCAUUUUUAUCUCAAAUUAUAAAGGCGGCUCACUCCUGUCCCCACACACUUUAAUGCUCUCACACAAACACACACAACAGAAGCAGAAAGAUAUAUAUCCACACAAUACAAAAAUUAACAACAGAUACUAACAAAGUAGAAAAACUCCUCACUAGACAAUGAAACCAUUUCUGUCCUCCUACUGAGCAUGCUCAAAUGUGUACAUCCACACACGCACACACAUCCACAGCAGACAAAAGUCAAUAUCAAGGCUGAGCUAUUUCUGUAGAGAGCACUAUUUAGGAAGUGUGGGCCGGGUGCCAGUAUUCUCCUCAGUAUCGUCUGGGCGUCAUUGCACUGCUGCUGUUAUACAAACUCACCUCUUUCCUCUCUCACCCGCUCCUCACCCUUUCCACCCCAACCCCUUGUUCCAUUGUCAGUGCGCUCUCUGUCCCUCUCUCUUUCUGUGUGUUUCUCUUAUAUACACACAAGGUUAUUUGUUUUUCCACUGGGUCGAACCACAGUGCCAGGUGAAAGCAUCUAUUGGCAGGAUAAAGAGAGUGGCUGGUGUUAGAUCACAAGGCCCCACUCUGCCCAGCAAACCUUGAAGUGAAGCGCAGGGCUGGAGUUUCAAACAAAGUGCCCCCUCAUUCAUUAUACAUGCAACUGAACUGAAAAUCUCCUUCUGCAACACCAUCUCUUCUCCUCUCUCUCUCUCUAUCUUCAUCCCUCUCUCCUCACAUCGUCCCUCUCCCUUUUCUCUCAUUUUUUUUUUUCCAGACAGAGCAUCCAUAAAGUAUGAAUAAAAUUAAUGACAUCACGAGCUGCACUUUGGAAGAGCCACUGUAGGAAAAAGCCAUACAUCACAGGGCAGAAGGAGCUGGGACAAAAAAAAGUAAAAAAAAAAAAAAAAAAAAAAAGAAAAAUUGACAGAGAGAGAGAGAAAGGUUGUAUAUGGGGGGGGGCUUCACCCUUCUCCACCCUUUCUUUAUGUAGCGGCAACAGCCCUCUUCAACAUUUCUUUGUCCUGCUUUCUCCUGGCUUUUUUUGGUCAGCUAAGUAAUGUAAGUGUUCAAAACAGUCCAGUGCUGUGCAUUCUUUUACAGGCUGGCCUUUGGUGUGGGAAUGGCACAGAUGACAGUGGAAAGGAACACUGGUGUGGACUUUGGCAGGACAACGCCUGGUUAAGCUGUGUGCUCUGCAGAAGAGGGAGAGCACUAAGUGUGGAUUCUUAUAUAGCUGUUUCUCGACUUAGACGGUGUUAACAGCAUUUUCAACAGUGUGCUCCCCUCGGAGUUGAGCAGCGAACCUCCUGAUGUUACAGACUUUGCCCAGAGACUCUGUGGUGAAAAAUAAGAAUCGUAUUUAAGAUUGUAAUAUUCUUCCUUAGAGCAGAAAAAAGAGUUUGAUUUAUCAGUAGUGCUGCCUAUUAUCGACAAUUUAGUGCGACACUGUUUCAUUACAAGAGCAACAUCACACAAAAGCCUGACUGCAUAAAAUCCAAGACCUUAUUCCCCUGAAUCCAGUGUGAACACAAGAUCUGCUAAAAAUACGCGAUAGCAAUGUGAAGCCCAGCAGCAGCGUGGAUGGGGAGCAGUGGCGGCAGCAGCGCAGAUUGUGGCAGCCGAGUGAGCAGGGGUUUCAGAUGGAUGUGAGCUUGUGUGAGGCCAAGGCACAGAGCUACCUCUGUG
Molecule: long non-coding RNA, 6112 nt
Organism: Siniperca chuatsi (mandarin fish)
Lineage: Eukaryota; Metazoa; Chordata; Actinopteri; Centrarchiformes; Sinipercidae
Exons: 2
Source: RefSeq, a predicted model, not a curated record